Molecule: ribosomal RNA, 422 nt
Filed under: uncultured Bacteroidota bacterium
Lineage: Bacteria; Pseudomonadati; Bacteroidota
Description: uncultured Bacteroidetes bacterium partial 16S ribosomal RNA
Rfam family: Bacterial small subunit ribosomal RNA
Source: RNAcentral
UGAGGAAUAUUGGACAAUGGGUGAAAACCUGAUCCAGCCAUGCCGCGUGCAGGAAGACGGCCCUAUGGGUUGUAAACUGCUUUUGUACGGGAGCAAUAAGUUUCACGUGUGGAAUGAUGAGAGUACCGUACGAAUAAGCAUCGGCUAACUCCGUGCCAGCAGCCGCGGUAAUACGGAGGAUGCGAGCGUUAUCCGGAUUUAUUGGGUUUAAAGGGUGCGUAGGCUGUUAUAUAAGUCAGCGGUGAAAUACCAAUGCUCAACAUUGGGGCUGCCGUUGAUACUGUAUAGCUGGAAUUUGGUUGCUGUUGGCGGAAUGUGUAGUGUAGCGGUGAAAUGCAUAGAUAUUACACAGAACACCGAUUGCGAAGGCAGCUGACAAAACCAAGAUUGACGCUGAUGCACGAAAGUGUGGGGAUCAAACA